ACUUUAAGGGCCUGGAGCUGGCAGCCACCAGGUGCCUGACGAGGGCAGCCAUUUUGGAGGCAAGGGCUGCCUAUAUAAACAGGGCAGUUUGGCUGCUGGAGGCCAGGCAGCAACAUUGUUUUCAGCAGCCCUCCAGCCAGGCAAUCUGGAGCAGAGAAAGCAAUCUUCUAGAAGUCAAGAUAUUUGGAUUCUGGUCCUGUUCUGUGCCACUGCCUUUCUGUUCAGACUGAAUACCAACUCCUGGUCUUUGAUGCCAACUAUGUUCUUCAUCUGAUAGUUGACCUUUUCUAUAAAAACAAGGAAAAAAGGCACUAAAGCUUCAUCCUUCUCUGCAUCAUCAAUUAUUAGCUGACUUCCUGCUCAAUAAGAGACUUACACUGUCCUUGGUCACUUUCUUAUUUCUAAUAUAUUUAUAGAAUGUAUCUUACUGAUUUUUUUAUAUCCCUUGUUAGCUGUAUCUCAAUUUAUGCUCUGGUUUUCCUGAUUUUGUUCCUCCAUAUUUGUGCUACACUCUUAGAUAUAUACUCAUUAAUAUAGCUAAGUUUCCAUUUUCUGUAGGAAUCUUUCAAGUUUCAUGUAAUUGUUUAGGCUUUUGGUUUUUCCCAGUGGUGCCCAACCUUUUCACCCUGUGGGGCCACAUAGGCGGUGCCAAGUCUACCUCCAUGGGCUGGAUCCAGCUGGUGGGCCCAAACCAGCUACAGGAGGUUGCACAGCCCAACCAUGAUCUCUCUGCCUGAGGCAGGGGUGGGGAGCAGUACUGCCCUGAUCUGAAGGUGCAGGGGUUGGGGGAGGAGCAGCCCAACCCAUAUCCAGAUGAGCAGGGGGGAGCAGCCCAGCCCUGAUCUUGCUGCACAGGUAAUGUCCUGGAUGAGACUGGAUCCAGUUGUGUGGAGCUUCCACCACUCGCUCCUGCCAAAUUUUUUGAUCUGUGGUGGUUCCCGCAGACGACAUGUCAUGGCUUCAUGGGCCAGAGGUUGAGCAUCUCUGGCUAAGCCAACAAGGCCUUUUGCUACACUUCGUAUCACCAUUCAUAAUGGGAUAACAUGAUCCUGUGCUUUUAAUAUGAACUCUUUAAGGAACAACCAACUCAUCCUUUCCUUAGGCUUGGGAUCCCGCCUACCAAUUCUGAGUUUGUUAAAGCCUUCUUUUCUGAAGUCCAAAGUUUUGAUUCUGCUAUUCUGCUUUCUACCUUUCCUUAAUAUCAUGGACUCUGUUAUUUCUAUUGUUCUCACCCAAAUUGCCUUCCGCCUUCAGAUUCUCUACCAAUUCCUAUCAGUUGCUAUACAGCAAAUCAG
Long non-coding RNA from Alligator mississippiensis (American alligator), 1295 nucleotides. RefSeq lists it as uncharacterized. The record is from RefSeq and is a predicted model, not a curated record. NCBI's taxonomy places the organism in Eukaryota, Metazoa, Chordata, Crocodylia, Alligatoridae. The transcript is spliced from 3 exons.